UGAGAGUGUAGCCAAAUCUCUCAUUUUACAUAUGACAGGUGGGGUUCUCUGUCCCUCUUCUGACAGAGUUUCUUUUCAUUCCGCCCCAGGUACGUCAAAGUGGUGCUCUAAGGGAUUAUCAGUAUGACGAAAACAGAGGCUAGUUUGUCUUGAAGACCUCAGAUUCCCACGUUGAAGGAGGUGGGAGUUCUGAAAGACUGUUUGAAAUUCGUUCGAGUAACAGAGGAGAGUGCACAGAGCAGCCUUCUGUAUUAAACAAAGAAUAAGAGAAAAAUAUUCACUUCCAUCCAAGGUACAAGCAACAGAGCAUCAACACAAACAAAGCAGGCAUAAGCCAGAAAGCCUUCAGGAAACCCAUGGAAGGAAGAUCAAAAUCAGAUUCUUUAGAAGGGAGCUGUUACAGAGGCAGCGAGCACCCCGAGCAGGGAGAGUGGCCCCCGGCCCCGCCGAGUCCUGCCCUGGGAUCGACACUCCGCACAGCAGCAUCAAGCCACAAUAGCUUUGACCGUGUCUAUAAUAAAAGGCUUCAGGGGUACACCCUACUUUUGGAUAGCAGAGGAGCCUGUAUCAUGUCUAGGACAAACGAAGACCAUGAUUCAUCCUACUCUUCUUAACCUUCUGGAGUAUAACAUUGAGUUAAAUUCGAGUAUCUCACACCAAGACAACGUUAGUAAACUCAACUGCAGUGUUGCCCUAACUUCUUAUACCAUGGUGACCCCAGAAAAUGAUAACAUUUGUAGAAUACAGGUGAGGGGAAAACCCUUGCUGGGCCACCCUCAGGGCUGAGGGACUAAGACACUGUCAAGAACUAACCUAUUUUCUUAGAGAAUCUUUAAUUUCUAACCCAAGUUGCUGUUCAAACACUGAUAAUGAGAGAAUAUUUACNNNNNNNNNNNNNNNNUUUUUUAAUGUUACAGAUCACCCCCAUACGCGGAAGAGAACAUAAAAACGAAGAGGGUGCUUCUCUGACCUACACACCAAGGCCAUGGCACCCACAGGAAAUGAUAAUCUUCUGGCACGCUUGUCAUACACGGUUCGCACAGCUCUGCUCGGAAAAACUGGGAUGGAAGGAGAGGACUUGACGCCACAGUAUUAAUAAUUAUACUCUCCGCAACGCAUUAAGUACCUCCAAUAAAAGGCACUGCAUACAUUAGUUUAUUAAACCC
RNAcentral lists this long non-coding RNA (1166 nucleotides) under Ursus maritimus (polar bear). RNAcentral describes it as "lncRNA (ENSUMAG00000021675.1)". The record is from RNAcentral. Lineage: Eukaryota; Metazoa; Chordata; Mammalia; Carnivora; Ursidae.